GCGCAGCAGUCGCGAAACCUCCGCAAUGCGGGCAACCGCGACGGGGGGACCCCCAGUGCCGUGGCAUCGCCACGGCUUUUCCGGAGUGUAAAAAGCUCCGGGAAUAAGGGCUGGGCAAGGCCGGUGGCAGCCGCCGCGGUAAUACCGGCGGCCCGGGUGGUGGCCGCUAUUAUUGGGCCUAAAGCGUCCGUAGCCGGGCCUGUAAGUCCCUGGCGAAAUCCCACGGCUCAACCGUGGGGCUUGCUGGGGAUACUGCAGGCCUUGGGACCGGGAGAGGCCGGGGGUACCCCUGGGGUAGGGGUGAAAUCCUAUAAUCCCCAGGGGGACCGCCAGUGGCGAAGGCGCCCGGCUGGAACGGGUCCGACGGUGAGGGACG
RNAcentral lists this ribosomal RNA (376 nucleotides) under uncultured microorganism. RNAcentral describes it as "bacterial SSU rRNA". It matches the Rfam family "Archaeal small subunit ribosomal RNA", at positions 330 to 706 of the family's 1478-position model. The record is from RNAcentral.